Molecule: small RNA, 27 nt
Filed under: Bombyx mori (domestic silkworm)
Lineage: Eukaryota; Metazoa; Arthropoda; Insecta; Lepidoptera; Bombycidae
Description: ovarian small RNA-27241
Source: RNAcentral
UCCCCGUGUGGUGUCGGGUAUCUUACG